UACGUAGGGGGCAAGCGUUGUCCGGAAUCAUUGGGCGUAAAGCGCGUGUAGGCGGCCCGGUAAGUCCGCUGUGAAAGUCGGGGGCUCAACCCUCGGAUGCCGGUGGAUACUGUCGGGCUUGAGUACGGAAGAGGCGAGUGGAAUUCCUGGUGUAGCGGUGAAAUGCGCAGAUAUCAGGAGGAACACCAAUUGCGAAGGCAGCUCGCUGGGACGUUACGGACGCUGAGACGCGAAAGCGUGGGGAGCAAACAGG
This 253-nucleotide ribosomal RNA is filed under the name uncultured bacterium. Its description in RNAcentral is "partial 16S ribosomal RNA". It matches the Rfam family "Bacterial small subunit ribosomal RNA", at positions 524 to 776 of the family's 1533-position model. The record is from RNAcentral.